AAAUAUUAAAGGCAAACUAAUCGAAAGGUUAGGACGCAAAGCCAAGGGUCUAAGGCUUCCAAUGCUAAGAUAGCCAGGCUGCAGAA
Molecule: non-coding RNA, 86 nt
Filed under: Bacillus sp. (in: firmicutes)
Lineage: Bacteria; Bacillati; Bacillota; Bacilli; Caryophanales; Bacillaceae
Also listed under: 1 other name
Description: Bacillus sp. c-di-GMP sequence
Rfam family: c-di-GMP-I riboswitch aptamer
About the family: GEMM was predicted in a large-scale screen for bacterial structured RNA regulatory elements.
Source: RNAcentral